Molecule: long non-coding RNA, 323 nt
Filed under: Physcomitrium patens
Lineage: Eukaryota; Viridiplantae; Streptophyta; Bryopsida; Funariales; Funariaceae
Description: long non-coding RNA (PPAT_LNC013203)
Source: RNAcentral
AGAAACUUCUCUCUAAAAGGUUCCAGAGGCUUCUCUUCUAGAAGGUUCCAGAGGCUUGUUUUCUAGAAGAUUCUAGAAACUUCUCUCUAGAAAGUUCUAAGGAAUAUGUCCCUAACAUCAAAUCCUGAUCGAAUUCUAAUCAAACUCUAAAUAAAUCCUAAUCAAAUCUUAAUCAAAUCGUAAAUAAAUCCUAGUUAAAUCUUAAAUAAACUCUAAUCAAAUCCUAAAAAAAUCUUAAAUGAACACUAAUAAAAUCCUAAAAAAAUCCUAGCCAAGCUUAAAUCGAACCAAAAUCCCAACCUUAAUUCUAUUCCAAAUCCUAA